Molecule: long non-coding RNA, 9795 nt
Filed under: Gallus gallus (chicken)
Lineage: Eukaryota; Metazoa; Chordata; Aves; Galliformes; Phasianidae
Source: RNAcentral
GGCCCUCCAAAAGGAGUCAUGGAAUGACUGUUAAAAUUAACUGCUGAUCCCUUUAUUGCCGGUGACUGUGUUGCUUGGCUGGAGUCUGACCCGUAAUGGCUGACGUGGGAACUAAUAGGUUCUGGAGUGUUAUCAGUCCUGUAUUUCAUGGCUGGACCUUUAUCUUCUUUGCUUUUAAUGCACCCCAUGGUUGCUUCUGCCCGUCCUCGGCGGCGCGGGUGGGAGAAGGAGGGGGAGAGGGAAGGAAGCGGGGCCCCCCCCGCUCCUCCCGGAGCCGCGGCGACCCGGGGAGGGAAGGGGGGGAGGAGGGGAAGGGAGGAGGGAAGAGGAGCAGGAGGAGGGAGCCGGGCGCUCCGGUGCGUGCGAGGAGCCGGAGCCUGGCGGCGGGAGGAGGAGACUCCCCGCCCCUACGGCCGGGCUCUCCGGCGGGCACCUCCGGCCCCUCCUCCGCAGCGCUCCGCCUCGCCCCCGCUGCCCGCGGGCGCCCGGGUGAGGCGCGACACGAAGCUCCCCGCCCGAUCAGAGGCCGCGGGGAGGAGCCGGGCGGACCCCUCCUCGGCGGCGCCGCGCACCGAACCAACAUGGUGGCGGCAGCGGCAGCGCGGGGUGGAGGGGAGGCGAGGGGCAGCUCCCGAUCGGGGCCUUUCGGGGAGGGUUGCGCAGAGCCCGGCUGCCGCCUUCUUGCUUGACGCCGGUCAGGUGUGUGGCUUCAGCUCUGAGCUCUUCCGCCUGCCGUGGGAAAGGUGUGGAGAAAUUACUCUUCAACCACGCAGCCGGGGAUGUCCAGGCUUGGUGUGUUAUGGAUUUGAGUCAGACAGGUACAUCCCGUUGGUCUCAGUGCCAGAGGUCAGCGUCGCGUGUUUGAAAAAGAAAAGUUGGGUUUGUGUCAAGAUGGGCUUCAAGAUGAAGGUCCUUCAAAUGCAGUUAUAGUCUUCUGAGGUCAUCUUUCAGAAGUCAGGCCAAGUAAUCAAGAUAUCCAGGCUGAUCACCUGACCUUGGGCAUCUGAGGUUGCAUAUUAGGAAAUUUUUCUGCUCAGAAGGAGUGGUGAGGCAUUGGAACGGGCUGCCCAGGCAGGUGGUGGAGUCCCUGCAGGUGUUUGAGAAACGUCUAAAGGUGGCAAUGAGUGACAUGGUUAGCUGACAUGGUGGGGAUGGGUUGACGGAUAGAUGUUCUUAGUGGUCUUUUCUAGCCUUAAUGGUUCUGAGUGACUGCAGGAAGAACUGAGAGAAAAACACCCCAAGGAACCCAGAUUAUUAAAGUUUACACAGUCGGAUUGGUGGCCGUCAUUCAGAAUUAGCUUAGUUUUCAGCUCGUUAAUAGCUAGAUUUAUGUCUCCUGCACCUUUAUUUGGUGUGAAGGCUGACUGGUAAUUGUAGUGGUCCACAAUGAGAAUCUAAUACAAUGUAUACUUAAUCUUUAAAACAAUCAAGAAGGAGGUCCCAUUUCUAGGCAAUGAUGGAGAGUAAAACCAUUUGUCUUUUUGCUGUAGUCAAAUACAAGUAUUUGCUUUUACAAGACCAUAAAUACAGUAGGCAGUUACCAGAAGAUUAUAUAUAUAUUUUAUAUAUAUAUAAAAUAAUAACACAGAAGUGUUUCAGGUUGUGAUGCUCCUUACCAUAAAUCAUACUCAUGUAACCCUGUUAGAAUGGUGGAGUUAAUCAUUUUCCUGUCCUGUUAGGAGCCUAAAUCACAUUAUUACAGAAUUGAUUUUUAAUUUAGAAAUCAACAACAAGUUUUACGAAUUGAGGUGAGUGAUGAAUUAUUUAACCAAGGAGCAGUCAGAGCUCUGGGUCUGCUCACUGCUUCCCAGCACAGUCUGGCCUUGCAGCAGUCCUCUAAACCUACAGGGCUGACCUCCAGUAUUGCUUGUGUUUUCCUUCCCUGUAUGUGGGUAAACACUGUUGGGCAGUGAAGUUUACAGCAGAACAGUAAAACUUGGGUAUCUGUGAGCCUUAAGCAUAUUAUUAUAAUUGUGUUUCAAGGAUACUCAUUUUUUCUUUAAGAAAUGUAGCAGCUUUGGGCUAAAGCUGUAUGGUUAGAGGCAUACUGGCUCUUGCCUGUUGUCAGUGUAACUCAGUGCCCAGGUUUUAGGCCUGAAGUGGAUGGGAUUUUUCUUGGCAUCUGGCUGUACCCACGUGAUACCAAAAGGUUCCUUGGGAUUCUCGGUCCAUUCUACCUCUCUGAUUGGUUUCUAUUCCAAGGACCAAUACAGGGAGCGUGUUGGACUUCUGAAAAACCCAGCAGUUAUCUGCAGGCUUCUCUUGCUCUUGUCUGUGCAUUUAUGUUAUUGGCUGUCCAGAUGUACCACCACAUAUAGUACUAAGGCUGCACUGGUGAUCAAAUUCUGUUGAUAGUGAAUCACAGAAUCGUAGGGGUUGGAAGGGAAGUCUAGAGAUCAUCUAUUCCAACCCCUCUGCUAAAGCAGGUUCCCUAGAGUAGAUGAUUACACAGGAAAGGAUCCAACUGGGUCUUGAAUACCUCCAGAGAAGGAGACUCUACAACCUCUUUGGGCAGCUUUGUUCCCUCACACUAAAGAAAUUCCCCCUGUUCACACGGAACUUCUUGCGUUCCAGUUUGUGCCUGUUGCCCCUUGUUCUGGAGGGAGUGGCAUGCUUAAUUUCAAGCCCCAUAUGAUUAAAAUAGUACAUCAGUUUGGGAGAAGAUGCUAGCUGGCAACAAUCUCAGCCCCACACCACAUCACAUGGAUGGGAAAGAAUGGAUUAGGGCCUGGAGUUGUGGAGGCCAGGCAUCCUUUCAUUGCAGUGGAAAAACUGGCCACUUCUUAAAUUGUCUUGCACUUGUUCCUGACAGUCUCAGCCUUCCUUGUUUUUAUAAGGCCAUGUCAAACAGGUGAUAUAAACCUAACAAGCUGCUGGUCGCUCACUCCCUUUAUUUCUGUGCUGAAGAGGGCAUGGGAUUGUCAUUGCCACCUUCUGCCUGUGAGUCAGCCUGCAGCCUGUCUCCACAUUUCACCUAGGUAAAGCCCUGUUAUGCUUCUACUCUGCUGCUAUUGAGUGGGCUCUGAAAUCUGCUGCAGUGCUAUAUGUGCCAUAAGCUAUAAAGGUUAGGCUUAGCCCCUUACUGUUCAUUCAAGGGAGCAGCUGUAGCUGGCACCAAUCUCAGCUUAGAGUCAGCUAAGGGCAGUGUCUGCUUUUAGGAAUUUCACCGCCUUUUUAUUAUUCUGGUUUAAAUUAAUGUUUUUGACUUUGCACAGGACAAGGAAGGAGGAGCUGCACUCAUCUGCUGUAGCAUGUGUGGAAUACAGUGUGAGAUGCUGCUGCUGUGGUUUGCUGCUACCAGGUGCUGGGUACCAUUUCAUGACCAGUGCUUCAGGCAGGCUCAGCCUCUGUGAACUCCUCAGCUGUGCUGCGUUUCUGGUUUUCCAGGAAAAAUGCUGCUGUUAAGGUUGGGAUUAACAUAAUCACAAAGAUUAUGUGUAAUAUCCUAAAUGUAGACUGUGAAAAUUGUUACGUAUUUGAAUUGAUUCCUAAAGAAGGUGAUCAUUUAUAUUUAUGCAGUUCUAAAUGCACUUUUGGUUUUGGUUCAAAUUACCCAGUGAUUGGUAGGAUAAAGAACUUACUACGCCAAAGGAAGUAUUUUUAGUGGGAACACGGGUAUAAGAGCAGAAAGAAGGAAGGAACAGGAAUAGAGGUGUAGGAGAGCAGUCUGGGAUAUUUCAGGCACUGAUGUGGGUGCACAGAUUUGUGAUUGAGGAACACAGGACUUGUAUUCUGAGACUUGAGAAAAGCAGGACUUGUGUCCUGAGAUUUUGCAAGGAGGUGGGCAGGGCUUUUCUGAAGCACUUUAACAGUGUGUGCUGAUGGUUAAUGUAUGGUACGCAUUGUAGGCAUGUAGAAACUUGGAAACACUGAGACAUUCUUGAAAAUAAUUGGUGGGAUUGUUUUCCAGUAAAUCAGAAUAGCUCAUAGCCCUCUGCAAACAACUUUUAAAAGAUACCUUUACCUACAUUCAUCCUUUCAUUUUGAGAAAUAAGUGGUAGGCAGGUCCUCAUCUUAUUUUCAGAAGUGUGGAAAAUAUCGGCCUAUUAUAGAAGCAUCUUCCAAAAUUCAUGGGCUAAGUUCCCUUUGCUUAUUGUACUGUGUGAUGAAAUUGUAAAAAGCAGUUCUUCUUGGAAUGGGCUAGUGUUUGUUACAUGCUUAUUUUUAAGUGCUUUGAUAAAUAUUGUUCUUUUGUCAUGUUAAUUUCUUUGAGUGAAGCUAUUAAUAAAAUCACUGAUUUUUAGAAGUCAAACAUUUUACUUGGGUAUAAUGCAAGUUAUGUAUGAAUCCAGUAGUUCAGUGAAGAAGCAGUGUAAAGUCACGGGAUGGUGGAUCUGUUAUUUUUUCUUAUUCUGAAGCAAGAAUUCUAUUUAAACAUUACGUUACGCUUCUAUAGGUUUUCUUCAGAAAUGCCCUAUUUUGCCAUAAAAUCAUUCGACUCCUCCAAAUGGCCAGGGUCCGUGUGUUUGGUACUCACUUCUAUCUGAAAGAUUAAGUAUUCCAUUCUUACUCAAAUGCAAAUAGCGUUUCCCUGUGAUCUUGUGAAACAUGACUAACUACUUGCACAUGUUAUACUUUCAGCACGUGUGUGGAGGCUUAAAAAGAAAGACCACACGACACUGAUUCAAACAUUAUUUAGGAAAUCAUUUAAAGUUACUUCUGAAUGCAUGUUAUACUCUAUCUUGGAAAAUGCCACGCUUCUAAACCUGUUGCUAUUUACAUUUGUGUCACAUCCACUUAUAUCAGACACGCUGGAUUACAUUGUAUAAUGAAAGCCGUAUUGCUGUACUCUAAUCUUUAUCUCUUUAUAUCCGAUCUACUUUGAAUUGCACAUGAGUAUUGUUUAUGGUUACUUAAAAUAACUACUGCUUUUAUUUCAAGGGCAGUGUUAUGUAUGGUGAACACUUAACACGCAGCCCUACUUUGGCAGCAGCUACAGAUCCUGUAUCCUUGGUUCCUGCAUGAAAGCAGCAGAGAUCCAGAUCUUUCAUUUAAGUUUCACAUUUGAAAAAUCUGAAGCCUGUGCAAUUGUAGAUGUGAAGAAAAAUGUAAUGCAUUUCUUGAACCACUGUUCUCUUCUGAGGGAUUUGGAACUUAUACUCUUCCUCACAGAGCAGGUCGUGCACUGUUGCUCAGAAGGGAAAGGAACAAACAGCAAGAGAAAAAGAAAUACGUGUUAAAGCUGACCUGAACUACUUUUGGUAUUGACAUCAGUGCUUGAGUCGUUCAGAGCCUUUAAGAGUCUUCUCACUUCACUUACCAGCCUGUGUAAUGGAACAGUUUCUGCUGACUUUGGGAGAUUUGCACAUCUACGUAUUGGUUAUACUUACUAAGUUAUUGUUGUACAUUGUGCUGACUGCCUAAGAUAGUACUGUGGAAGAAACUCUUAAUAUCAUGAGAUGCAAAAUCCAAGUGAAUACAACAUUUAGACAGAGCUCUUAGGGGAUUCCACUCCAAAUUCAGUUAUUUCCCAGCACACACUGACUUUUAGCUGUUGAAUAUACAUGCUAUUCACAGAGCUUUUAUAUGUGACUUCAUAAGUGAAGUGGAGGAGGCAUAGCAAUUAUGCGCAUUGUCUUAUUAUAGUCCUUUGGACUAGCUUUCUUAAGGAGCCUUUCCCCCACCAUCCCAUCAUCCUUGCUGUAUUCCUGUUUUCUCCUCCUCCUCAUGGCUGGCUGGUACUUCCUCUGCUCUUAGCGUGGUCCAUUCUUGUGACCUCCCGCCCGACUGAAGAUGGACAACUUCUUCAGGCCUGUGCCAAUGCCCUUUGUUGUGCGUUAAUCCCUGAUAGAUCUGAAUUUCCCAUGCUAGGUUGUUAUUAUGGCCCUAGUGUUUUGAGGAUAAUUGCCUGGGCACCAGAAAGCCUUCCCUCCUCAUUUAGAUGAAUGUGUUGAUGUUUAUUAAUUUGGGAAUAGUUCCAGGAACAAAAUCAUUCCACAGUCUAGGAUGCCAGACAAAUCCUUAGAGCGGAGCUUUGAUCAGGAUGGGGCUGCUCACUGUCAUGUUCAGCAUUACAGGUGAACACAAACAUUGUGUACCAUCUAGAGAUCUCAGAAAAUUGGGCAGCUGUCAGAUGCAUUGUUUCUUUUCUUGGCAAGCCCUGCAUCUUUGUUGUUUAUCCUCCCUCUUCUGUUCCUUCAGCUGGAGGUUGCAGUCCCCUCAGGUCUGUCAGCAUAACUACAACUAUCAUUUUUUUCCUGUACUUUUACAGUUCUGCCAACAUGAUCACAGCCAGUUUGAGUCUCCUAACAGUUUUCUAAAAGCUGAGAUUUGGUUGGUACAACUUUGCUAAGGAAUGGCAGUGCUCACUGCUAUGAGGAAAGAGGUUACCACAUGUGGAGGAGACUGUCACCUUACUUGACCUCAGCUGCAGCCAGAACUUCCUGAAUUUUCCUACAAUUCAGAAUUUAGAAAACCCCAGUGUGAUUACAGUUAUAUACAAGAGACAGCAGUGGUGGGAAGGAGGGAGAAAACAAUGGCUAUGAUUUCCUGAUGUGUGUCUCUUGGCCCUGCAUGGAUCUUUUCUAGCCUUGCUUCAGAUAAAUACCCCUUUGUUCCUUUCUUCCUACCUGCUCAGCUCCACUGAAGCAGCUGCAGCCUUUUUUUUUUCUUCCCUAAGGGUGAACAGAGCGUCAGGACUGAGCCAGCCCAGGUAACAAAAGCUGGAGAAGAGGCACUUGUGGAAAACUCGCUGUUAAAAUAUGAACAACAGCAACAACAAAAAACACGCCACAGUAAGAGGUGGAAGAAGCCUGGAUUUACUGAAAGCAGCCUUGCCACUAGAUAAUGCUUUUUAAUAUUACUAGUAAGAGUUCUUCGACUUCUUCAACUUCUUUUGCUGAGGUUGUUCUUGGCAAUCAUCUGCUUCACUGCUGGGACACUUGCACUGUGAAAUCUGCUGUUCUCUCAUGUUAAGAGAAAGUAACUUUGCCAGCGAAUCUACAGAGAAGCACCUCGACCUCCAGACUGGGAGCAGUCAUUUGAGAUUUAGCAAGUCUCAUGCUGAUGUCAAGGAUAUGCCUUUUGCGGUAUCUCUUAAUAAUACACCCACAUCUGACCUGGUGGUGAGUAAGUCUCUGCACAGCCUCACUUUGCAUGUAGGGGCUUAGCUCAUCUAAGCUGAGUUCUCCCCAAACUAUCUGCAUAUCCUCCCACAAGCCCUGCUUGCCAAGCAGCCUGGAGAUGCUCUGCUCCAAGGCUUCAAAGGCGAAGCCAGCAUUUCUUUGCAAUUAGGUAGAAAUGUACAGCUGGGAUGGACCUCCCACUGUGCAGCAAUCAUUGUGGGAAAGUAUCAGUUGCCUUUCCCUUCUCCACGCCUGGCUUAAAAAGAACAGAAAAGUACAAGAAUAAAUAAAUGAGGAAGACUCUGCUUCCAUGUUGCUCUUCUCUAGUUCUGCAGGCUGCUGCUUUGUCCUGCUCUAUCAUUAGCACACUUCUUGAAGAGCUGGCUCUCAAGUGGGGAAACAAGCGGAGCAAAACCCAGCCUGAGCCCCCUGCACAAGUGUUUAUGCUGGGGAUACAUCAUAGCUUUUUGGAACUUCUAAUGUUUGUAUUCUUCAAAAGGCAGGAAAAAACUGCUACGUUCAGCAGAAAACUCUCUAUAUUCCAUGAACUUAGAACUGAAACUAUAAAAAUGCCAAAUAUUAAUUUUUUGUUGUUGUUGUUGUUUUGAAUGGAGAGCUUGUAUCAACAUGUGUUUCUCUGAAUUUUGAGUUACUCUUAAAAAGAUGGAGCUGACACGUACUCCUUCAUUUACCUUAAGCACAUAGUUAAUUGAUCCUUUUGGUUUGGAGAACUGCAAAACUGUGAUGGGAAUACACAAAUCUUCAAUUUUUUAAAAAAUAGUAUCUUACUUCACUAUUUCCUUUUAGUCUCUACAUUUCUUUAAAUAGUCUAUAGCAGCCAAAUAAUAUCAUGCAAGAGAUAUUUCAUUGCUCAUAGAAUAAACUGUAAUUGUGCAAUAAAAGAAUGCAUUUGUCAUUCUCAUAAUGGGACAAAAUUAAUUACUUGGAGACAAAUCCAGCUAAAGAAAAUAAGAGAAAUACUAAAUCAAAAAUACGUAACAUUAAAGGUUACAUUAAUGUUGCUUCCUUCUACUUGUUUUUCCUUUCACUUUUGGUUAAAAAGGGAUUUUCCAAAGCACAGGAAUUUGCUCAUUCUAUUCCUAGUUCUUUGAAAACAGAGUGUAUGAAAAUCAGACUGACUGUUCCACCCUGAAUCAUAUUGUUUGCUUUUGUUUUCUAAUUGGGAAGAAUAAUAAAACAUGGAAAGCUCAAAAAUAUUUGGGUUUUGAAAUGUGGUCUUGGGGCAUCUUUGAUGGAUCAUCCUAACACAGCUAGAAGGGACUCUAUUGUUCUUUAUGGAAAAUAUAAUCCAUCCAGGGACCCCAGAUGACAGGGGAAAUGAGGGGCCUAAACCAUGACAAACUCCUGAUGAGUAAUGACAAACCAUCCUGAAGCAAAACAUUUUGAUUUGCUUGGACGGUUCAAAACAUUUUGGAUUCUCUUUUAUUUUCCCACAGGGACAUUACGUUGUUUUGGCACAACCAACUUUUUCCUGUGGAAAAAAAAAAUAUUGCAGAAACCACUUUUCUACUAAAAAACAUGGACAGAAAUCCCUGGAUCAGCAGUAAAGAGAAGAUGUCAAACCAGAACCAAGCACAUUUGAAAAUAUUCUCCCCAGAGAACAUUAAGAAUACUCCAACCUGGCAGUGAGAAUUUUAUAUCAUCUCCAUAUUUUACACUAGUAUAAAGGUAAAUAUAUUUCAUAGACAGUGAACGUAACGUGAUGAAAUCCAUGUGGCAUGGCUUGAUACGUUUCAACACAUUUAAAAUAUGAUGUUUCACUGAGGCCUUCAAAAGCUGUUUCUUUCAAAAAAGUCGAAGUCUUGUGGAAAACUUAGGCCUUUGAAAUGAAAAACUACACUUGAGAUUUCACAACUGUGAACUUGUUAAAAAACUGACCAGUGCUUUUGAAAAAAAAAAUAACAUUCUACAAAGCAGAGGGUUUAAGCACUUUCCCUAUGGGGACAAGCUGAGUGAAUUGGGGCUCUUCAGCCUGGAGAAGGGUCCAGAAGGACCUUCUAGCGGCCUUCCAAUAUCUGAAGGGGGCCUACAGGAAAGCUGGAAAAGCACUUUUUGUAAGGUAUGUAGCAAUAGGGUGAGGGGAAAUGGCUUUAAACUGGAAGAGGGUAGGUUUAGAGUAGAUAUAAGGAAGAAAUUCUUUACUGUGAGAGUGGUGAGACACUGAAACAGGUUACCCAGUGAGGUUGUGGAUGCCCCCUUACUGGAAACAUUCAAGGCCAGGCUGGAUGGGGCUGUGAGCAACCUGGUCUACAGGGAGGUGUCCCUGCCUAUAGCAGGGGGUUGGAACCAGGUGAUCUUAAAUGUUCCUUCCAAUACAAACCAUUCUAUGAUGUUUCUAUGAAGUUUUUAGAAAAAUUCUUUGUUAUUUGUUACUCAGAAUCAUAUUGCUACGUUCAGUUCUAAAAAACAGGGACACAAAACUUUUUUAAAGCAAAGCAUGAGGUAUGGCGGGGUCUUCCUGAAGUCUUAGGUCAGUGGUAGUUAGGUAACCUGCCAGGCCAUCGCACAGCCUUGAGUCCCUCUUGGCACCUGGAAGCAGCAAAUUCAAAGAGAAAGCCUUUGGCUUUCUAGAACUGGCAGCCACCUCUCUGUCUAUGUUUCAGGACAACUUCUCUGCUAAAUGUGGUAAAGUUUGCCCUGGCUUCUUCUGUAUCAAGGCAGGCUUCAUCCUGGCAGUGGUAUGUAGAGGACAAGGCCUGUUGUUUCCCAC